This is a non-coding RNA of Paramuricea clavata, 240 nucleotides long. Lineage: Eukaryota; Metazoa; Cnidaria; Anthozoa; Malacalcyonacea; Plexauridae. The record is from the annotation of a GenBank genome assembly.
CUGGUUUGUAAUAUGGUACUGGUUUAGCUGAUCAAACACAAUUUUUUCGAAAAUUUUAGAAAUAGCGGACAAGAUAGAGAUAGGUCUAUAAUUGCCACAUUCUUCUCGAUUUCCAGAUUUGAAAAUUGGAGAAACUCUAGCAUUUUUCCAGUCGCUUGAAAAAUUCCCCUCUGAAAGGGAUAGAUUAAAAAUAAGGUUCAGAUAAGGAGUGACAACGACUGCAGACUCCUUUAAUAAUUU